GUGAUUUUCAACUUUGAAUUGUGAAAGUAAUUAUCAAUUCAAAUUAUGUUCUUGAAUUCAAAACUUUUAUUUUAUGAAAUAAAUAAAUAAUCAUAAAUAGAUAAAUUAUAAAUAAAACAGAAAACAAUGAAUUUUAACUUACUAGAAUUAAUUGAGAUAUCCUUCACUUUGUUUUAUAAAAUUCUUCCACAAUUCUCAACUUUCUUCUCUUAAUUAUUUUAUGUUUUUUUUCUUUUCUAAGGGUUCUUCUAUUUAUAAGAGUUCACUUUGUAUUUUUAAACUA
RNAcentral lists this unclassified non-coding RNA (283 nucleotides) under Hevea brasiliensis (rubber tree). Lineage: Eukaryota; Viridiplantae; Streptophyta; Magnoliopsida; Malpighiales; Euphorbiaceae. The record is from RNAcentral.